UACUUGAACAGGAUCUGUUCUAUAGGAUCGUACCUCUGUAUCCUUGAUCACUAAGGAGACAGGACCUAAACCUGGUUGAAGAACCAUGGCUGUGCGAUCAGAGCGUGAUUAACGAACCUGAUCCUUUGCGAAGGAUCAGGCUGUAGAGGAUCGUUCCCAGCUUAGGUUCGCCCAGCUGGGAUGGUCGUACGGUUGUCUGACAGGUUCCCGAAAUCUUUUUGCUAAUAUCUCGUCCUGGCCUGCAUGGCUUCCGAGUCCCUUAUGAAAUUGUUUUUGGCUCUUUAGGCAUGUAUAGCUUUUAAUCUGUAAAGUGCUGUUAGGCUAGUCUGGUAUAUAUCCCUUUGAUGUACCCAAAAAAAUGUCCUUAACAUUAGAAACAUAUGUACUUGGGACUAAUGUUCUUGAUAUGCUCUGACUUGAAUGUAAAGUUAAUGUCAUCGUGUAGUCCUGUUUAUCUUAUUCGAAUCUGGCACAUCUUUUAUGCCCAA
This is a long non-coding RNA of Quercus lobata, 488 nucleotides long. RefSeq lists it as uncharacterized. NCBI's taxonomy places the organism in Eukaryota, Viridiplantae, Streptophyta, Magnoliopsida, Fagales, Fagaceae. The transcript has 3 exons. The record is from RefSeq and is a predicted model, not a curated record.